This 596-nucleotide long non-coding RNA is filed under the name Gossypium barbadense (sea-island cotton). RNAcentral describes it as "long non-coding RNA (GBAR_LNC019319)". Lineage: Eukaryota; Viridiplantae; Streptophyta; Magnoliopsida; Malvales; Malvaceae. The record is from RNAcentral.
UAGCUAUAUAUCAUUAUUUCCUUUCCCAUUUGCUGACGAGCUUCCAUGGCCUACUUCACUUGACACUGCAAUGCGACAACAAAAACAAAUGCAUUCAUCAGUUGAGCUUGGGUCAUUAAUUGUCCUUUGCCUUAAUUCUGUGAAAUUUAAUUUUAAAUUUGAGUGGUUAAAAUGUAGGAAGAACCUUUUGCAGUUAGUGCUGGGGCUGAUCUUGAAAGGGCUGUGCACCCCACACAUGCCUGGGAGUUUGUUCGUAAGGUCAUAGUUGAUGCCAGAAAUGCUGGCAGCUAAUGCUUUGACGCAGUUGCAAGCUGAUUGGCGCUCUGGAGUUGAUUGGGCAGCCUCGUUGAGAGAUCUGAUCCCAUUGCAGCAAGAUGCAGGCACGCCACCAGCACCGUUGUUUCUCACGUAAGGAAUGCAGGGUGCCAAGGCUGAUAUGGCUUGGCCACAACUUAUGGCCCCUUCAGCCAGGGGUGCACCCACAACCAAGCACAAGACCACACCACAUGCAAGCUUGAGGGCCACAGUGCUGGCCAUAUGAUUCACUAAUUAGAAGAAAUCAAACAAUUUUAUAUAACUUGUAAGGAAAAUUGAUU